This 474-nucleotide ribosomal RNA is filed under the name Salmonella enterica. RNAcentral describes it as "partial 23S ribosomal RNA". It matches the Rfam family "Bacterial large subunit ribosomal RNA", at positions 137 to 649 of the family's 2925-position model. Lineage: Bacteria; Pseudomonadati; Pseudomonadota; Gammaproteobacteria; Enterobacterales; Enterobacteriaceae. RNAcentral also lists the same sequence under 1 other name. The record is from RNAcentral.
GAUUCGUCACACUAUCAUUAACUGAAUCCAUAGGUUAAUGAGGCGAACCGGGGGAACUGAAACAUCUAAGUACCCCGAGGAAAAGAAAUCAACCGAGAUUCCCCCAGUAGCGGCGAGCGAACGGGGAGGAGCCCAGAGCCUGAAUCAGCAUGUGUGUUAGUGGAAGCGUCUGGAAAGGCGCGCGAUACAGGGUGACAGCCCCGUACACAAAAGCGCAUGUGCUGUGAGCUCGAUGAGUAGGGCGGGACACGUGGUAUCCUGUCUGAAUAUGGGGGGACCAUCCUCCAAGGCUAAAUACUCCUGACUGACCGAUAGUGAACCAGUACCGUGAGGGAAAGGCGAAAAGAACCCCGGCGAGGGGAGUGAAAAAGAACCUGAAACCGUGUACGUACAAGCAGUGGGAGCACCCUUCGGGGUGUGACUGCGUACCUUUUGUAUAAUGGGUCAGCGACUUAUAUUCUGUAGCAAGGUUAA